GCACACACAGGGGAAGAAAUGCCUUCAGCGGCACCAGCUUUCAAAUCCUAACCACAGACUAAACAUUCUGGGCCGUCCACAGUUUGGAAAAGGACUUCUCGCCUUGGUGGUGCUUUAUUGUGCUGGUCAGAGAGAGAUCUGAUGAGCGAACAACUGCUGGAAGAUUUCGAAGCCACCUCCACUCCCUGGCAGGCAGGGCUGGCUCCCUCACCUUUGUUUGGAAGCUGGGGAGGGGAAUGGGAGCCUCAGGAGGAGGGCGGGGUCCCACCACAUCAGAUGUGGGAGACCCAGCUGGGAGCAACCCUCAUGCAAAGACUCUGGUGGACUAGGAGUUGUGAAUGCUCCGACAAGGACUUACGAAUCUAUAGGAGAAAAACGUCCUUUGUGAAGUCUGCUAGCCUUUCUGGGGGCUGCUGGGCCUCUGUGCAGAGCUCACGUCCAGAAGAGGCACGCACUGCCCAGUCUGGUCCAUCCACACCCCAUGGCAAGCCCAUCAGCAUGAUUCCCAGAGGGCUGACCUGGGCUAAGGAUGCCCUCAGUCCCCAAGAGGAAAGGACAGGGCAGCCCUGUGGCCUGACUUGGCACCUCUCUUUCUUCUGUAAAAUGGAGACGGUCACCCCUUUCCUUCAGGCCUUUGUGCAAAAGAGGUGGAAGAGAAGGAAGCGGGGAGAAAUGUGGCUGCUUUGUCACCUCGGGUCUCAGGAAGGGGGAGAAUAAGAGGACAGUUUGGGCCGGCUCCCUUCCCAGAGCUCUGCCGCCUUGCCUGGCUCCUGCUUGGGGUUGGAUGGAGUGGACACGGGAGGGCCGGGGCCGAGGAAGGCCUGAGAACAGAGGACCACCUCCAGCUCCCGCCUUCGUGUCCUUUCACCCAACUUUCCUUCAGGUGUGUUACAAGUGAGAGAUCGGGGCUGCAUAUUAAUAAAACAAUGGAAUUUUUAUUUCUUUUUCUCAUAAAUUACAUAAUUCAAACCUUAAAACACCUUUAAUGAACAGUGACUGGGCAUGUGACACUUAAUAAAACUGGGCUCAGGUCAGUUUCUGCUUGACAGGCUACCAGCCGAGAAUGUGCCUUACAAGUCAAUGAUUAAGAGGCGGGCAUCUUUCCUGGGCUCUACUAUUAAACACUUCAAAGGUUUCCAGAGUCAGAUAAAAUGAAAAGCAAAUGUGUUUCACUGCCUCUCAAAUGCCUCAAAUGUUUUAGCAGGUGCAAGCAAUGAAACCUUCCAUGGUGACAGCGUUUUAGGGUCUGCAAAGUGCACCCGACUGAAUUCUGGGAAUUCUGGACUGGCUUCAUAAAAAUUCAUGAUUUCCAAUGAGGAGAGAUGUUCAUCUUUGGGGCCCAUCUACAUAUGUGGCACAGAAGGAAAAUAGCAUGGGGUCCUCUGGGCCAUGGGUCAGCUUAACCCUUUCUGUUCUGAAAGAGACUCUGCAUGGCGCACUAGAGAACCCCCAGCUGGGGUGGUCAGCCUUGUGCUGGCAAAACAGGGGGGCAAAUCUCUGGGUUGGCCCAGACUUUCCAAAGGCACCGUAAUGGUC
This 1536-nucleotide long non-coding RNA is filed under the name Equus caballus (horse). RNAcentral describes it as "lncRNA (ENSECAG00000049163.1)". The record is from RNAcentral. Lineage: Eukaryota; Metazoa; Chordata; Mammalia; Perissodactyla; Equidae.